CGGGGUGUAGCGCAGUUGGUAGCGCGCUUGGUUUGGGACCAAGAUGCCGCAGGUUCGAACCCUGUCACCUCGACCA
RNAcentral lists this transfer RNA (76 nucleotides) under Clostridiales bacterium. RNAcentral describes it as "tRNA-Pro". It matches the Rfam family "tRNA". From Rfam's summary of the family: Transfer RNA (tRNA) molecules are approximately 80 nucleotides in length. Lineage: Bacteria; Bacillati; Bacillota; Clostridia; Eubacteriales. The record is from RNAcentral.